RNAcentral lists this transfer RNA (72 nucleotides) under Camelus ferus (Wild Bactrian camel). It matches the Rfam family "tRNA". Rfam says of the family: Transfer RNA (tRNA) molecules are approximately 80 nucleotides in length. The record is from Rfam by way of RNAcentral. Lineage: Eukaryota; Metazoa; Chordata; Mammalia; Artiodactyla; Camelidae.
GGGGGUCUAGCUCAGCGGUGGAGCACGUGCUUCGCACGCACAAGGUUCUGGGUUCAAUCCCCAGCCCCUCCA